CUCAACCCACUGAGCAAGGCCAGGAAGUGAACCUGCAACCUCAUGGUUCCUAGUUGGAUUCGUUAACCACUGUGCCACAACGGGAACUCCUUAGUUCCUAUUCUUAAUGAAAACAUUUUCUGCCUGAAUUUUUUAGUGUGGCAUUAUUAAACAAUGAAAACAUCUUUUCCAUACUUUUCAAAGUCUACCAGUUCCCUGUAUGUUUUGUUGGCUUGUACUAUAAGUGAACUCUUAAUAUUUUAGGAAAAAGUUUUAUGAUAGAUAAGUUCUUUUUAAAAUUUAGCUCCUAAUUUUUUUUAAAAUCAAAAUGAAAAAUUUCUUGCAUAAAGGGGGACUUUUAACUUUUACUUUGUUUUUCUUCCAUGUGGUAAAUCUUUUCCUUUACAAAGGAAGUGUGCUUACAGAAUUACUAAGGUGGUUUUUAGAAAGCAGUAAUCAUAGAAACCCCGUCCGUGCUUGCCCUACUCUGUCUCCCCAAAGCCCUUGGUCUGAAAGCCAGCCGUGGCUCUUGUCCUUAUGACAUGUGACUCGUGGAACAGGAUUGUGCUGUUCACUGGGACGCUGGCACGGUGCCCUAGCAGCCCCUGUGAUGCUGCCUCAACAUCAGGAAGCUGGCUGUGAGUUUUACACCGUAUUGUAUACUAUAUUGCAGUGUAUUUACUCUGUUGAUAACUUACAGAAUAUCUGUAGUAUUUCUGCAUAAUCUAUAAAAAUACUCACGACAUUAGAAAAUCUAGGGACUGUAAAUAUGAAAACAUGAAAAAAAGUUUUUUGGCACAAAAUCCCCUCCAAAAUAUGAAUAAUACUUGCACUGAGAGCCAUGAGAUUAAAUAUGCUUCAUUUUAUUAAAAAAUAGUUUGGGCUAGGCUAACUAGGUAUGGCGACUUGGUUAAUUUUAGUGCAAAAUAGGAAUGAUAUUUGCAUUAAGAGCCAUGAGAUUAAAUAUGCUUCAUUUUAUUUAAAAAUACUCUGGGCGAGGCUAACUAGGUACGGCAAUUUGGUUAAUUUUAGUGCAAAGUAUGAAUAAUACUUGCACUGAGAGCCAUGAGAUUAAAUAUGCUUCAUUUUAUUAAAAAAUACUUUGGGCUAGGCUAACUAGGUAUGGCGAUUUGGUUAAUUUUAGUGCUUUUUUUAUUUUUAUUAUUUUUGGCUGUGCCUGUGGCACACGGAAUUUCCUGGGGUCUAACCCGCACCUCAGCAGCAACCCAAGCCUCUGCAGUGACAACGCUGGAUCCCUGACCCGUUGUGCCACGAGAGAGCUCCCAGGUCCACCGCAGGUCCCCCAGCUCCGGUGGAGAACUCGCCCUGGGGCGGUGCCGGUGCCAUACUGGCCUCAGGGAGCUGCCACCCAGCCAGGACGCUCUUGCCGAGCUCUCCAUGUUCGUGGAGGGAUAGAACUGUUCAGCUAAACAUCCAACAGCUUUCAAGCUUUGAAGAUGAAAAGGACAGGCUGGAAACUUUCCAUGACAAGUUGCUGAGCCGGGAAGUGAAUCUGCAAUCCUUCCGGUGGCCUAAGGACCUCACGCUGGAGAGAAGUGCGUGGUUGGAAAAUCACAGCCCUGUAUUCCCCGGAUUGAGGCGGUCACCCAGCUGCUCGGUAGUUCUCAGUUAGCAGUGAGCGGUCCCACCGUGGACACCAGCUCUACUUCCUGGAGAAGCCAAGUGGAGAAGGCAGCUGAGAGGCUGGACAGUGCCUGCAUCAGCGGCACCUGGAAGGGAAAAGGUAGCCUUGGUUGGAAAACGGGCAGCUCAUGUGUCAGCGAACGACAAAGCUGAACAAUGAAAGGUCUCAUGUAGAAGAACUUGACUAUAAUACAAACUUACUAUAUUAAUGUUUUAUCUUCUCAGUGCAAACAGAAAAGUAAUCAUCCGCCCAUUUGUCAUGCUCAACAGAGCUGUAAGAGAGGUUAACGCAGACCAUUCAGCAUCAUCUAUGAAAGAAUUACAUUUCGCAAUAGUGAGUAAAAGGAAAAACCAUGAACAACAAAGGAUGGUAUUCUUCCCCACCAAUUAUUUCCAUGCUCAGUCUGCACUAAUAGUUACAAGCGGAGAAAAAAGGCAACGUUAAAAGCGCUUAUAAUUUAGGAUAUAAUAGAAUGGUUUCUUCUUGCGAAAUGCUGUUUUAAGUCUGUUUAUUCCAAAGUCGGGUCAGAAUGUCACCUGCAGGUUAUGAAAUGCAGCGGAAGCUAAUACUACACUACUUCUGAGCUACGAGGCAGGGCUAUUCACAGCUUCUUUUAACCCUGAACAUAUUCGAGUUUUUAAAAGUUAUUGAACCCGAGCAAAAAUUAGCCCGUUCACAGUUGAGCCAUUAAAAUAACAGCCACUUGUGCCCCCGCCCCGCCACCAGUUUGGCAUUAAACAAGUCCAUUAAAAACCACCUGUGGGCUAUGGGUGACAGAGGACCAAGGGUGAUGGUGAGUCAUGCUGCCUCCAGAUGGACCUGUUGAAAUGAAGCUCGAAAGCUCAAGGACUGGAUCACUUGGCUCCAAUGACUUUCCACCCAGCCCCAGGGCUCACAGUCAAUAGGCACUUAGGAAAACCCGGUGAGGCUGGAGGGCUGUGUUCCAGCGCUGGGACGUGUAAAAAGGACAGAGACCACUGCUGCUCUGUCAGUGCUGGUCAGUGACUGGUGUAGCACCCAACACAUGAUGAACCUGAUUAUUAUUAUAAUUAAUGCAGUUAUUAUCCCUUGCUGAAAAAGCACUUAUUUAGCUAAUGACUACUUCAAACAGCUUGCCAGUGUUUUCAAGGCACAUUCAGAUUCUUUUCCAUUAGAGGUUAUUCUAAAAUAUUGAAUGUGGGGAG
Molecule: long non-coding RNA, 2808 nt
Organism: Phacochoerus africanus (Common warthog)
Lineage: Eukaryota; Metazoa; Chordata; Mammalia; Artiodactyla; Suidae
Exons: 3
Source: RefSeq, a predicted model, not a curated record